GAAUUGCAAAAGAAAAGCGAAUUGAACGAAAAAUUCAAUAAAAAAUUUCCAGAAAAACAGUCCGUCUGUCUGUACAUACGUUUCUGUCGCACACUUUAUUGGAAAAAAGGAUCGUCAAAGUAUUCGAAAAUGAAACGGACAAAAAUCCGCAUUUUCUUCACUUUUCUUCCAUUUUCGGGUCGGUUUUUUGCUGACUGGGUCAAUAUCUGUCAUUUUAUUUAAAGACAAAAUGUAUUGGGAUCAUAUAAACAGCUGUACAUCGAAGUGUAUCUAGAAUGUAUGUAUGUAUAUCGAGCUCUAACCGCGAAUUUAUUUCCCCCCUUUGGAUACAGAAGUGCUUAUAUGUAGAGCAUGUAAAUGCAUAUCUGCAUGGAAAGGAAAAUUUAAAAAAUAAUUUCGGUUAAUAUUUUUUGGCGCUUAGGGAAAGAAAUUAAAUAAAUAAAAAUAGGUGCGGAAGCGGAGCUCGGAGCGAAAUAAACUACCGGAGCGGAGCGAUGAAAA
Rhagoletis zephyria (snowberry fruit fly) is the source of this 501-nucleotide long non-coding RNA. RefSeq lists it as uncharacterized. The record is from RefSeq and is a predicted model, not a curated record. Lineage: Eukaryota; Metazoa; Arthropoda; Insecta; Diptera; Tephritidae.